RNAcentral lists this ribosomal RNA (2415 nucleotides) under Triticum aestivum (bread wheat). Its description in RNAcentral is "partial small subunit ribosomal RNA". Lineage: Eukaryota; Viridiplantae; Streptophyta; Magnoliopsida; Poales; Poaceae. The record is from RNAcentral.
AUGCUGCGGCCGCUCCGCCGCCUAUCCGGCCCCCUCCGCCGCUCCCUCUCCACCGCCUCUUGGCGCCCCGCCUGGGCCAUGAUUUACCGGAUCUCCACGGCGGAGGAGUCCGCGGCCGCGCGGGGCGUCUCCCUCGCGCUCGCCCCGCCCCCGCUCGCCUCCCGCGUCUCCGUCCCAAGGCACGCCUUCGGUCUCGACCCGCUCCCGGACACGGCCAGCUCCGACGGCCAGCCCUCCAACUUCUUCGACUUCGGCAGCCUGGCCCCCGAGCAGGGCUCUCCCCAACCGGCCAGCACCCUUGUCGAUAUCUUCGGCAGCGGCGUGCUCGCCGCGAGCAGCGACGGCCUCCUCCUGCUCGGCACGUUCAGGAACCGCGCCGACCCCACGGGGAUGUUCGAGUACCAGGGCCCGUCCACCGCCCCGUUCGAGGUCCUCGACCAGGCCUACGCUCGCUCCUACUGCUGCGACAUCAUGAGGCUCGCGCGCUUCGUCUGCAACCCCGUCACCGGCGAGAUGGCCCGCCUUCCGGACUUCGACGGCACGGAGGACGCCUUCACCGCCUCCACGGGCCUCCUCACCCAGGCCGACGGUGGGCACGGACCACCCAGGAGGUACGCCGCUGCGCAGCUCAGCUUGGUCGGCGAUGGGCGGCGUUUCCUGCUGCGCCGGCUCUCCUCGGAGACAGGGGAGUGGGACGAGCUGCUGCUGCCGUCCCCGCUACCGGCUGGGCGCCUCAUGUACAUGAACCACGAGGUGCUGGACUUCGGAGGGCGGCUCUGGUGGGUAGACGUGAGCUGGGGCGCCGUCAACGUCGACCCGUUCAGCGACCGGCCCGAGCUCUGCCUCGUCGAGCUGCCGGGAGACAUCAUGCUUCCUGACCAACAGGGCGAGGCAGAGAUGAGGCAGCUCCUCCAGCACAGGCGCAUGGGGGUCAGCGACGGCAGGCUGAGGUUUGUGGAGGUUUCCAAGGACGAGCCCUUCAACAUCAAGUCGUUCAUGCUUGAUGAACAGAGUGGCCGCUGGAUGCUGGAGCACAUGGUGACCUGGAAAACUCUCUGCCCCGGAGGCAAGGUGGCGCCUAUGAUUGCUGCUAUCGAUCCGAUGAGCGCCGACUUAGUGCAUCUCACUGUGCCCGUGGGCAAUGGAUAUUUUGUAAGUGUUGACAUGCGCUGGAAGAGGCCGGUUGAGUGUGUGGACUUCGGAAGUGGCGUUCAUCCAAGCAAGUGCAUCUCAAGUUUCGUUCUGCCAUGUGUGCUCCCCUCAUUUCUCGGAUCAAGCCCGAUUCCAGAUAUGCAUCCGCGGAGGCUAUUCAGCUAUGCCACAAGCUUCCAGCGCAAACAAAUACCGGUCAUUCGUCAACUUCUGUUCAGUCAUGAGUAUGAGGCGAAGAAUGAAAUAUGGUGUCCUUUUGAGCAGAUGCUGGUGAAGGGAAGUAUGCUGAAGAGCCUUGUUCCAGGCGGGCUUAUAAGGGUAGAAGAUAUAAUCCGCAAUGGCCAUUACAGUACUGGGAAGCUGGCACUCCUAUCUCUUCGUGAUUUAGUAGAUCUAGCAACUGUUAAUCUGAUGAGAGGCGUCAAUGUUAGUGAGCUUAUUGUCUUGGAAAACCUAUUGUGGGCUCCCUCAGCUCGGGGCAUUAUGUUCAAGCAUACGAAUCUAAUCAACAAUGGAGAAGAAACUGGGUGCCCCUAUCUCUCAAUUUAUGAGCUUUUCAAACUUGCAGUUCUCAUAACAACAGGAAAGCCAAUCGAGGAAGUAAAUUUGCCCGCUGAUCUCGCACACUUUCUACACUAUUUACAGAGAGCAACCAACAUAGAUAAAAGAUUGAUUACAAACCACUCAGCCACCAGAUUUCCGGAGGAGAGGAUUCAGAGGAACAAGUCAUACAAUUAUCUGUUUCGGACUGAAUUCAAGCACUUUUAUGCAACGCCAGCUGCAGCGCGAAGUUACUACGUGUUUGAGGCAUUGGGGCUAAUCUUCCCCCAGGAGCUGUUAACACCUGCAGGUCUUCAUCCAUUGAUCGAUUAUUGGGCUUCUUACAAUCAAGAGAUGAUCCGUCAGCAGUCUGGAAAUGGAGUCAUCCUGACCCAUCAACGCCCAAUUGUUGUUCCUCGAUUUAAUACUGUUUAUGAACUCGGAAACCGGUUGAUUGCACUCUGUAGGGAUCCCUUUGAACAUCCCUAUGGACCAUUAUAUGCUGAUCCAUCAUAUGCUGAUCUUUAUCCGUACCUUGAGAUGGGCUACAGCAUUUUUCAAAUAGAGCAGCUAAUAAAUCACCUAAUUCCACUGUAUGGGCCUACCGCCGAUGAACAAAUUCUGGUGCACAAAUUGUGGGAUAAUGUGUUCACUGGUCAGCGGCCACUGCCCCCACAUGCUAAUUGGACUGAUAUAAGUGGCGUGCGGAACCAGGCAAGAUGA